UACGGAGGGGGCGAGCGUUAUUCGGAAUUAUUGGGCGUAAAGGGCGCGUAGGCGGCUGUACAAGUCAAAGGUGAAAUCCCUCGGCUCAACUGAGGAACUGCCUUUGAAACUGUACGGCUUGAGGCCGGGAGGGGGUAGCGGAAUUCCCAGUGUAGCGGUGAAAUGCGUAGAUACUGGGAGGAACACCAGUGGCGAAGGCGGCUACCUGGACCGGUUCUGACGCUCAUGCACGAAAGCGUGGGGAGCAAACAGG
RNAcentral lists this ribosomal RNA (253 nucleotides) under uncultured bacterium. RNAcentral's name for it is "partial 16S ribosomal RNA". It matches the Rfam family "Bacterial small subunit ribosomal RNA", at positions 524 to 776 of the family's 1533-position model. The record is from RNAcentral.